This 466-nucleotide long non-coding RNA is filed under the name Ixodes scapularis (black-legged tick). RNAcentral describes it as "uncharacterized LOC115315044". Lineage: Eukaryota; Metazoa; Arthropoda; Arachnida; Ixodida; Ixodidae. The record is from RNAcentral.
GACAGUCUCCUCUGCUGAAGUCCAGGCUUCAUGGGAGACUGCCAAGGCUGUUUAUGUGGCAGCAGCACCAGCUCCUGUGAUGCAGAGCAUGUGCAACACAGAUGCAGCCUUCGGUGGUGCAGCUGCAAUACCUGCAACCUUAGAUGGAGCAGCUGGUACAGUCGGACCUGCAUCCGCUGAGGCAGCUGCUAAAGAGCCCGCUGAGGUGGAGCCAUAUCAGCUGCUAAACUUCCUAGAAUGUGAAAUGAUGCAUUUCUACGACGGUUGAUGUCAAAAUAACGUGGAAAGCCUGGGGUGACAACAUAGUGAACCAGGACAUAAGGUCAAGCAUUGCUGUGAAGAACCUGGCCAUUGCUCUGUGGGGGUCCAGUGUCCUGUAGAAGACUGUGGUCGAAAUGGCGUCGAAUGUCAGUCUUAACAAGGACAGCAGGCUGCCUCUGACACCCAAGAAAGCGGCAUUCCUAAG